CGGACCGGCGCACGGGUGCGUAACGCGUAUGCAACCUACCAUCAACAGGGGGAUAACACUGAGAAAUUGGUACUAAUACCCCAUAAUAUCUCAUGCGGCAUCGCAUGGGGUUGAAAACUCCGGUGGUUGAUGAUGGGCAUGCGUUGUAUUAGCUGGUUGGUGAGGUAACGGCUCACCAAGGCGACGAUACGUAGGGGGACUGAGAGGUUAACCCCCCACAUUGGUACUGAGACACGGACCAAACUCCUACGGGAGGCAGCAG
Molecule: ribosomal RNA, 262 nt
Filed under: uncultured bacterium
Lineage: Bacteria
Description: partial 16S ribosomal RNA
Rfam family: Bacterial small subunit ribosomal RNA
Source: RNAcentral